Long non-coding RNA from Haliotis rubra (blacklip abalone), 390 nucleotides. RefSeq lists it as uncharacterized. NCBI's taxonomy places the organism in Eukaryota, Metazoa, Mollusca, Gastropoda, Lepetellida, Haliotidae. The record is from RefSeq and is a predicted model, not a curated record. The transcript has 2 exons.
CUGUAUGACAAUGAAGUCAACGCUUCAAUUCAAAUUGACUGGAACAAGAGCUAAGGGAUCCCUCUUUGAAUUGGGUCCACUUUUCAAGCCGAUAUUGGAAAAGUGAGAUCUCUGGAACCUGAGAUUGAUACCCGUGAGCUUGAUGGAAAAAUACUACAGUGGAUGAAACCCACUGUGAAGGACAUUCUCUCCCAUGUGGAUCUAUCAGAAGCUGAAGAUUUGAACCUUGAUCGUGAUGCAGACAGUGAUCAGGAGACAGACACUGAAUAAAUCCUUUCCUUGAUGUAGAUAAUGUAAUGCUUAUACUUAUAUUGUAAGAUACAGUCGGGAUACCCUCCAAACCAGUAUCAUGUUAUAAACAUGGAGGAAAAUAAAUAUUGAAUCAACUUU